This 445-nucleotide ribosomal RNA is filed under the name uncultured bacterium. RNAcentral describes it as "partial 16S ribosomal RNA". It matches the Rfam family "Bacterial small subunit ribosomal RNA", at positions 354 to 796 of the family's 1533-position model. The record is from RNAcentral.
GUGGGGAAUAUUGGUCAAUGGGCGAGAGCCUGAACCAGCCAAGUCGCGUGAAGGAUGAAGGUUUUAUGAAUUGUAAACUUCUUUUGCAGGGGAAUAAAGUACGGUACGUGUACCGUUUUGUAUGUACUCUGCGAAUAAGGAUCGGCUAACUCCGUGCCAGCAGCCGCGGUAAUACGGAGGAUCCGAGCGUUAUCCGGAUUUAUUGGGUUUAAAGGGUGCGUAGGUGGAUUGAUAAGUCAGCGGUGAAAGUUUGCAGCUUAACUGUAAAAUUGCCGUUGAAACUGUCGGUCUUGAGUGCAAAUGAGGUAGGCGGAAUGUGUUGUGUAGCGGUGAAAUGCAUAGAUAUCAUCCAGAACACCGAUUGCGAAGGCAGGUGGCUGUACCUUAAUCGACGCUGAUGCACGAAAGCAUGGGGAGCAAACAGGAUUAGAAACCCUGGUAGUCC